CCUACGGGGGGCAGCAGUCGAGAAUUAUUCACAAUGGGGGAAACCCUGAUGGUGCGACGCCGCGUGGGGGAAUGAAGGUCUUCGGAUUGUAAACCCCUGUCAUGUGGGAGCAAAUUAAAAAGAUAGUACCACAUGAGGAACAGCCGGCUAACUCUGUGCCAGCAGCCGCGGUAAUACAGAGGUCUCAAGCGUUGUUCGGAAUCACUGGGCGUAAAGCGUGCGUAGGCUGUUUCGUAAGUCGUGUGUGAAAGGCGCGGGCUCAACCCGCGGACUGCACAUGAUACUGCGAGACUGGAGUAAUGGAGAGGGAAGCGGAAUUCUCGGUGUAGCAGUGAAAUGCGUAGAUAUCGAGAGGAACACUCGUGGCGAAGGCGGGUUCCUGGACAUUAACUGACGCUGAGGCACGAAGGCCAGGGGAGCGAAAGGGAUUAGAUACCCGUGUAGUC
RNAcentral lists this ribosomal RNA (446 nucleotides) under uncultured bacterium. RNAcentral's name for it is "partial 16S ribosomal RNA". It matches the Rfam family "Bacterial small subunit ribosomal RNA", at positions 338 to 795 of the family's 1533-position model. The record is from RNAcentral.